GACGAAGGUGGCGAGCGUUGUUCGGAAUCACUGGGCCUAAAGCGCACGUAGGCGGCGACGUAAGUUGGGUGUGAAAUCCCUCGGCCCAACCGAGGAACUGCGCCCAGUACUGCGUUGCCUGAGGAUCCAAGGGGUGCAUGGAAUUCCCGGUGGAGCGGUGAAAUGCGUUGAUAUCGGGAGGAACUCCGGCGGCGAAAGCGGUGCACUGGUGGAUUACUGACGCUGAGGUGCGAAAGCCAGGGGAGCAAACGGG
This 253-nucleotide ribosomal RNA is filed under the name uncultured bacterium. RNAcentral's name for it is "partial 16S ribosomal RNA". It matches the Rfam family "Bacterial small subunit ribosomal RNA", at positions 524 to 776 of the family's 1533-position model. The record is from RNAcentral.